UUCACGUAUAAAAAAUUUUAAACGAAAUUUCUCAAAAAAAAAAAGAUAAUUACUGCAAAGAAAUAUUCUGGAAAGAGAAAACAGGAAGAUAAGAAUUAAAAUUUGUAUAAUACUAUUUAUAUAAUUCAUUAGAUAAGAAUUUCCUAGUGAAAUACAAUAUUGGAAUAGUUCCAACUCCAUUACAAAUGUGAAGGAAAAGUAGUGUCGGACAACCAAUUGAUUCGUUCAUCGAACGGACAUCAUAUAGAUGUCAUUAGCUUGGCCUCAUCUGUUUUUAGACUCUGGGAGUGUAAUGAAAACCGAGAAGGAAUAGGAAGCCAAUCCGUAAUUAUAGCUACGAUUGUUUCUUGUUAGGCUAAAUUCGAGAUCUAGAAACGUUCUGCCGAUCGUUGGUUAAAAAGGGAAGGACGAAAUUAUAUACAGUACCGUACAACAAAAUUUCGGCGUGUUAUAUUAAUAGGAACGUUCUAUGUAAACAAACACGGCGGCCGCGCGAUAAGUGAUUGCAUAUUUUUGAAUGUUUACAACAAAAUCGACUCGGGUUAAUUUUAUUAAGAGAAUUAUAGUCGAUAAUCGGGUCAGGGUAACGAGAAAGGAGGGGUUGGAAAAAAUUCCCGAUUUAUAAACACGAUAGGAUGAUGUUUCAUUCAGAAUUUUGUUGGAAGUAUUUGAAAGUUGAGCCUCGUAACGGAUGAUGGGAAUCAAGGACUCUAUGGGAGGGAGAGCAAAUGGCGAGGAAACGCGCCCAAACGAACUUCCGGUCCGAGAUGGUCGUCGCUUCGCUCGAUGACGCCAUUUCCGCUCAGAAUAGUAUUCGGAUGACUGCAGAUGUAGGUUAAUGGCAAUUGAAGGUGAUAUUAGUAAAGUUUUCUUAUGAAUGAAUUGUAUACGAAAGUUAACUAGACACGCAUUGGAGAGGCUUCGUUUACGUUUGGCGAGAUUCUUGAUAUUUAAUGAAAUCUGUCUUAGAAACGUUAGACAUUUCCUCCAGGUGAAAGUAAUCGUUUAUAUUAAAUUUUGCACCAGUUCGCAGUGUCUUUUAUAGUCUAAUAAUAAAAGAAAAAAUAGCGAAAUUCAAACAUUAACAGGAUUUAGCAGGCUGUCAAUUAAAUAUUCGACAUUCGAAAAAACCUUUCGUUAGUUUGUUUCUAUAUAUAGAACUGGAUACGAUGAGCCAGGGUGUGGUAUAAUUUUGCAACAGUAGCUUAGAUUUUUUGAAUCGCAUUAUCACCAGUGGCGUUUAUCAAAGUUGUACGUGCGUAAACAACAGGAAGGAAGGAAAAAAUACUUAAUAUCUAAUCGAAUUCCAAUACGUUUGAGUCAUUUAUUUCAGACUGGAUGGACUUUCAUCCCUUUAGAAAAUAUUCGACGGCGAAAGUAGGAAAUCCAUUUCGGAGUAAACGCGAAUGAAGUGAAGUUAUUCGACAAAUCAUCUGAGACCAAAAAAAAAAACUCUGGAGCGUCCAGAAAUUCUUUUCACUUAUAAAUAUAAUACGUCUAAAGUCAUUCAAAAAUUGUUUUAGCAAAUCAUUUUGCGUGAUUAGUUUACCACGUAGCGAUUACCAUCACAUGUUGAUAUCUGCACAUAUGACAACGAUCAUUAAUUGGGGAAAUGCAAUUCAAUAGUGACAUUUCAGAAAUAUAAAAAAGAGAUCGCCGUUUAGGAAUGCGUGUUUAUGUUGCUGUUGAUUCAAGAUUUUUUUUUCUGUCGUUUUUAUAUUUUAUCGGUAAAACGAGAGAACGACGCACGCGCGCAAAUUGAACUUAAAAGUCCAUUCUUCGGCCAGGAAAUCACUCCCUCUCUUUGGUGUUUUAUAAGCUGUUAAUGUCUCUUUUUUUUGGAAUAUUUCGAUUUUAAUUCGUCUUUUUUAUUAUUUCUUUUUUUAAUAUCCCAAAUGGUAAGUCAUAAAAAAACGAGAAAGAAUUAUCAGAUGUUAGAGGUGAAAGGGAUGUACACGGUUUCCACAACAUUACCGCUCCGUGUCGUUUUAACAGAUAGCCGAGAGGGACAUUGUAAAAGAAAUACAUUCUGUAUCCCUCCCAAUGCAGGGGUUAACAUCCGUCAAAGCCAUCACACUCUCAAGGCCGUGAAGACCUGUUAGGCCUCCUCUUUCACAAAGACUAGACGAUUCGUCUGAUCGCGCACGUGCUGAGCGUGUGACGUCAGUAUGAGAUGACCAAUCGUACCCAAAAAUUUUUCCCAUCCCCUUUGCUUUUUUUUGACGCAGCAAGUUAUAUUUCAAUUUUCAAAAAAUACGGUUUACUGUGAGUAGUUUUAGUGGACCUUUUUCGAUUUUUUUUUUAAGAUGAUCUUAGAGAGAAACAGAUUUUUAUUAAAAUUUCAUGUGACUUUUUUAUUUUUUGUUUUAAACGUUUGUGUGUGUGUGUGUGUGUGUGUGUGUGUGUGUGUGUACAAAUAUAAAGGAUGUUAUUUAAGACGCGACUUUUUUCCUCUUCGUUUUUAGUUGCUAGAUUUACUUGGAAUGUUAUAUGAACUAGGGAGUUAUGGAAUGUUAAUCGAAGAAUUGAAAGAUGUUUUUAUAUGUUGCAACUCUAGUUAAGGGCGAACCAAUCAAAUUUAUUUGGAAUUAAUGAGUAUUUGGUAUAAUGAUCUCGAAACAUUUUGUACUGAUU
Molecule: long non-coding RNA, 2634 nt
Filed under: Androctonus crassicauda
Lineage: Eukaryota; Metazoa; Arthropoda; Arachnida; Scorpiones; Buthidae
Source: RNAcentral